GCGAUACAGGGUGACAGCCCCGUACACAAAAAUGCACAUGCUGUGAGCUCGAUGAGUAGGGCGGGACACGUGGUAUCCUGUCUGAAUAUGGGGGGACCAUCCUCCAAGGCUAAAUACUCCUGACUGACCGAUAGUGAACCAGUACCGUGAGGGAAAGGCGAAAAGAACCCCGGCGAGGGGAGUGAAAAAGAACCUGAAACCGUGUACGUACAAGCAGUGGGAGCACGCUUAGGCGUGUGACUGCGUACCUUUUGUAUAAUGGGUCAGCGACUUAUAUUCUGUAGCAAGGUUAACCGAAUAGGGGAGCCGAAGGGAAACCGAGUCUUAACUGGGCGUUAAGUUGCAGGGUAUAGACCCGAAACCCGGUGAUCUAGCCAUGGGCAGGUUGAAGGUUGGGUAACACUAACUGGAGGACCGAACCGACUAAUGUUGAAAAAUUAGCGGAUGACUUGUGGCUGGGGGUGAAAGGCCAAUCAAACCGGGAGAUAGCUGGUUCUCCCCGAAAGCUAUUUAGGUAGCGCCUCGUGAAUUCAUCUCCGGGGGUAGAGCACUGUUUCGGCAAGGGGGUCAUCCCGACUUACCAACCCGAUGCAAACUGCGAAUACCGGAGAAUGUUAUCACGGGAGACACACGGCGGGUGCUAACGUCCGUCGUGAAGAGGGAAACAACCCAGACCGCCAGCUAAGGUCCCAAAGUCAUGGUUAAGUGGGAAACGAUGUGGGAAGGCCCAGACAGCCAGGAUGUUGGCUUAGAAGCAGCCAUCAUUUAAAGAAAGCGUAAUAGCUCACUGGUCGAGUCGGCCUGCGCGGAAGAUGUAACGGGGCUAAACCAUGCACCGAAGCUGCGGCAGCGACACUGAUGUGUUGUUGGGUAGGGGAGCGUUCUGUAAGCCUGCGAAGGUGUGCUGUGAGGCAUGCUGGAGGUAUCAGAAGUGCGAAUGCUGACAUAAGUAACGAUAAAGCGGGUGAAAAGCCCGCUCGCCGGAAGACCAAGGGUUCCUGUCCAACGUUAAUCGGGGCAGGGUGAGUCGACCCCUAAGGCGAGGCCGAAAGGCGUAGUCGAUGGGAAACAGGUUAAUAUUCCUGUACUUGGUGUUACUGCGAAGGGGGGACGGAGAAGGCUAUGUUGGCCGGGCGACGGUUGUCCCGGUUUAAGCGUGUAGGCUGGUUUUCCAGGCAAAUCCGGAAAAUCAAGGCUGAGGCGUGAUGACGAGGCACUACGGUGCUGAAGCAACAAAUGCCCUGCUUCCAGGAAAAGCCUCUAAGCAUCAGGUAACAUCAAAUCGUACCCCAAACCGACACAGGUGGUCAGGUAGAGAAUACCAAGGCGCUUGAGAGAACUCGGGUGAAGGAACUAGGCAAAAUGGUGCCGUAACUUCGGGAGAAGGCACGCUGAUAUGUAGGUGAAGUCCCUCGCGGAUGGAGCUGAAAUCAGUCGAAGAUACCAGCUGGCUGCAACUGUUUAUUAAAAACACAGCACUGUGCAAACACGAAAGUGGACGUAUACGGUGUGACGCCUGCCCGGUGCCGGAAGGUUAAUUGAUGGGGUUAGCGCAAGCGAAGCUCUUGAUCGAAGCCCCGGUAAACGGCGGCCGUAACUAUAACGGUCCUAAGGUAGCGAAAUUCCUUGUCGGGUAAGUUCCGACCUGCACGAAUGGCGUAAUGAUGGCCAGGCUGUCUCCACCCGAGACUCAGUGAAAUUGAACUCGCUGUGAAGAUGCAGUGUACCCGCGGCAAGACGGAAAGACCCCGUGAACCUUUACUAUAGCUUGACACUGAACAUUGAGCCUUGAUGUGUAGGAUAGGUGGGAGGCUUGGAAGUGUGGACGCCAGUCUGCAUGGAGCCGACCUUGAAAUACCACCCUUUAAUGUUUGAUGUUCUAACGUUGACCCGUAAUCCGGGUUGCGGACAGUGUCUGGUGGGUAGUUUGACUGGGGCGGUCUCCUCCUAAAGAGUAACGGAGGAGCACGAAGGUUGGCUAAUCCUGGUCGGACAUCAGGAGGUUAGUGCAAUGGCAUAAGCCAGCUUGACUGCGAGCGUGACGGCGCGAGCAGGUGCGAAAGCAGGUCAUAGUGAUCCGGUGGUUCUGAAUGGAAGGGCCAUCGCUCAACGGAUAAAAGGUACUCCGGGGAUAACAGGCUGAUACCGCCCAAGAGUUCAUAUCGACGGCGGUGUUUGGCACCUCGAUGUCGGCUCAUCACAUCCUGGGGCUGAAGUAGGUCCCAAGGGUAUGGCUGUUCGCCAUUUAAAGUGGUACGCGAGCUGGGUUUAGAACGUCGUGAGACAGUUCGGUCCCUAUCUGCCGUGGGCGCUGGAGAACUGAGGGGGGCUGCUCCUAGUACGAGAGGACCGGAGUGGACGCAUCACUGGUGUUCGGGUUGUCAUGCCAAUGGCACUGCCCGGUAGCUAAAUGCGGAAGAGAUAAGUGCUGAAAGCAUCUAAGCACGAAACUUGCCCCGAGAUGAGUUCUCCCUGACUCCUUGAGAGUCCUGAAGGAACGUUGAAGACGACGACGUUGAUAGGCCGGGUGUGUAAGCGCAGCGAUGCGUUGAGCUAACCGGUACUAAUGAACCGUGAGGCUUAACCUUACAACGCCGAAGGUGUUU
Molecule: ribosomal RNA, 2606 nt
Filed under: Escherichia coli
Lineage: Bacteria; Pseudomonadati; Pseudomonadota; Gammaproteobacteria; Enterobacterales; Enterobacteriaceae
Description: partial 23S ribosomal RNA
Rfam family: Bacterial large subunit ribosomal RNA
Source: RNAcentral